AAAAGUUGAUCGUGUUUAUGACGUCGAAUAUCGACGUCAUAAACACCAAAGUUGAUCGUGUUUUUGACGUCGAUAUUCGACGUCAUAAACACCAAAG
RNAcentral lists this microRNA precursor (97 nucleotides) under Paramuricea clavata. Lineage: Eukaryota; Metazoa; Cnidaria; Anthozoa; Malacalcyonacea; Plexauridae. The record is from RNAcentral.